GGGGGCCCGCACAAGCGCUGGGNCAUGUGGUUUAAUUCGAUGCAACGCGAAGAACCUUACCUGGGCUUGAAAUCGCCCGGACAGUCGGUGGGAAACACGAUCUUCUUCGGACCGGGUGACAUGUGUUGCAUGGCUGUCGGUCAGCUCGUGUCGUGAGAUGUUGGGUUAAGUCCCGCAACGAGCGCAACCCUUGCCUUUAGUUGCCAUCUUUAAGUAGGGCACUCUAGAGGGACUGCCGGUGUUAAACCGGAGGAAGGUGGGGAUGACGUCAAGUCCUCAUGGCCAUUAUGUCCAGGGCUACACACGUGCUACAAUGGGUCGUACAAAGGGCGGCGAACCUGCAAAGGGGAGCAAAUCCCAAAAAACGGCUCUCAGUCCGGAUUGAAGUCUGCAACUCGACUUCAUGAAGCUGGAAUCGCUAGUAAUCGCGGAUCAGCAUGCCGCGGUGAAUACGUUCCCGGGCAUUGUANACACCGCCCGUCACACCACGAAAGCUGGCUGCACCAGAAGUCGCUGGGCUAACCCGCAAGGGAGGCAGGCGCAUAA
RNAcentral lists this ribosomal RNA (546 nucleotides) under uncultured organism. Its description in RNAcentral is "bacterial SSU rRNA". It matches the Rfam family "Bacterial small subunit ribosomal RNA", at positions 915 to 1460 of the family's 1533-position model. The record is from RNAcentral.